AGAGUUUGAUCCUGGCUCAGAUUGAACGCUGGCGGCAUGCCUAACACAUGCAAGUCGAACGGAAACGAUGCUAGCUUGCUAGCAGGCGUCGAGUGGCGGACGGGUGAGUAAUAUAUAGGGAUCUGCCUAAUAGUGGGGGACAACGUGUGGAAACGCACGCUAAUACCGCAUACGCUCUACGGAGGAAAGUGGGGGAUCUUCGGACCUCAUGCUAUUAGAUGAACCUAUAUCGGAUUAGCUUGUUGGUGAGGUAAUGGCUCACCAAGGCGACGAUCCGUAGCUGGUUUGAGAGAAUGAUCAGCCACACUGGGACUGAGACACGGCCCAGACUCCUACGGGAGGCAGCAGUGGGGAAUAUUGCACAAUGGACGAAAGUCUGAUGCAGCAAUGCCGCGUGUGUGAAGAAGGCCUUCGGGUUGUAAAGCACUUUCAGAUGUGAGGAAAAGCAACCUAUUAAUACUAGGUUGCCGUGACGUUAACAUCAGAAGAAGGACCGGCUAACUCCGUGCCAGCAGCCGCGGUAAUACGGAGGGUCCAAGCGUUAAUCGGAAUUACUGGGCGUAAAGCGCGCGUAGGCGGAUAAUUAAGUCAGAUGUGAAAUCCCUGGGCUCAACCUAGGAACUGCAUUUGAUACUGGUUAUCUAGAGUAUGGUAGAGGUGAGUGGAAUUUCAGGUGUAGCGGUGAAAUGCGUAGAGAUCUGAAGGAACAUCAGUGGCGAAGGCGACUCACUGGGCCAUUACUGACGCUGAGGUGCGAAAGCGUGGGUAGCAAACAGGAUUAGAUACCCCGGUAGUCCACGCCCUAAACGAUGAGAACUAGCUGUUGGGUACGUAAAUGUACUCAGUAGCGAAGCUAACGCGUUAAGUUCUCCGCCUGGGGAGUACGACCGCAAGGUUGAAACUCAAAGGAAUUGACGGGGGCCCGCACAAGCGGUGGAGCAUGUGGUUUAAUUCGAUGCAACGCGAAGAWCCUUACCAUCCCUUGACAUCCUGCGAAUUUUCUAGAGAUAGAUUAGUGCCUUCGGGAACGCAGUGACAGGUGCUGCAUGGCUGUCGUCAGCUCGUGUCGUGAGAUGUUGGGUUAAGUCCCGUAACGAGCGCAACCCUUGUCCUUAGUUGCCAGCACGUAAUGGUGGGAACUCUAAGGAGACUGCCGGUGACAAACCGGAGGAAGGUGGGGACGACGUCAAGUCAUCAUGGCCCUUACGACCUGGGCUACACACGUGCUACAAUGGCCGGUACAAAGGGCUGCUAACCCGCGAGGGGGCGCUAAUCCCAGAAAACCGGUCGUAGUCCGGAUUGGAGUCUGCAACUCGACUCCAUGAAGUCGGAAUCGCUAGUAAUCGUGAAUCAGAAUGUCACGGUGAAUACGUUCCCGGGCCUUGUACACACCGCCCGUCACACCAUGGGAGUGGGUUGCAAAAGAAGUGGGUAGUCUAACCUUCGGGAGGACGCCCACCACUUUGUGAUUCAUGACUGGGGUGAAGUCGUAACAAGGUAACC
This 1503-nucleotide ribosomal RNA is filed under the name uncultured bacterium. RNAcentral's name for it is "bacterial SSU rRNA". It matches the Rfam family "Bacterial small subunit ribosomal RNA". The record is from RNAcentral.